AUCCUGCUCUGGCUCCCACCUCCGUUCAGGCGGAGCCACUCGGCGCCUGAAGCGAAGGGCCUCCGGUGCCUACGUGCAGUCGCCUCCUCCGCUUGAGCCUACGCCUUCUGCUCCAGUUGCUUUCCCAACCGAGCAGAAAAGCCGGGGGCGUGUUGCCGGGGCACUGGGAAGCCGGGAGCUUGGGCACUGCGCCUGAAGUCGCUGCUGCGCCUCCCCGCCCACGGGCGGUCGGGUCACGGUCCCUGAAGCCCCAGCCUGCCAGAUUGGAGCCCAUACUGACGUCAAGGGUAAAGGGGACCAGAGGCACCUGAGUCACCCAACCAGAAACCCAGCCUCUAGUGGGUGUUUCAUUGUGACACUGUGCGGCCUGAGGGGGAAGUACCCUCUCCUUUGAUUACCGUUGUGAAUCUAUGAAUAAACAGUUACACCCUGAGGGGUGCUAAGCUUUGGGAGUUACAGGGCUUGAGGUCAGCUCUAGAAGUCUUGAAAGUGGAGUUGUUGCAGGACACUGGGUUCCUUAGGAGCCGCCCCAGGCUUAAUGAUUGUCCAGAAGUUGGCUAUAAAGGGAGCCUGGGAGGCUGAUUGGAGGAGGGAGCAGAAAAAGCCUAACUCAGCAGGUCUGGGCACCGAGAGCCGAAAGCAGGAGCUGUGGUCAGAAGCUCGUGUCCCAGCCGGUAGGGCCUGCUCUCUCCCACCAUGGCGGCCCGAGGCUACGGCUAUUAUCGUGCUGUGAUCUUCUCAGCCAUGUUUGGAGGCUACAGCCUGUACUACUUCAACCGCAAGACCUUCUCCUUUGUCAUGCCGUCGCUGGUGGAAGAGAUCCGUCUGGACAAGGAUGACUUGGGGCUCAUCACCAGUAGCCAGUCAGCAGCCUAUGCCAUCAGCAAGUUUGUGAGUGGGGUGCUGUCUGACCAGAUGAGUGCUCGCUGGCUCUUCUCCUCUGGGCUGCUUCUUGUUGGCCUGGUCAAUGUCAUCUUUUCCUGGAGCUCCACAGUACCUGUCUUCGCUGCUCUCUGGUUCCUCAAUGGCCUGGCCCAGGGGCUGGGCUGGCCCCCGUGUGGCAAGAUCUUGCGGAAGUGGUUUGAGCCAUCUCAGUUUGGCACUUGGUGGGCCAUCCUAUCAACUAGCAUGAACCUGGCUGGAGGGCUGGGCCCCAUCCUGGCAACCAUCCUCGCCCAGAGCUAUAGCUGGCGUAGCACGCUGGCCCUGUCUGGGGCCUUGUGUGUGGUUGUCUCCUUCCUCUGUCUCCUGCUCAUCCACAAUGAACCUGCUGAUGUUGGACUCCGCAACCUGGACCCUAUCCCCUCCAAGGGCAAGAAGGGCUCCUCAAAGGAGGAGAGUACCUUACAGGAGCUGCUGCUGACCCCCUACCUGUGGGUGCUCUCCAUUGGCUACCUUGUGGUAUUUGGCGUAAAGACGUGCUGUACUGACUGGGGCCAGUUCUUCCUUAUCCAGGAGAAAGGACAGUCAGCCCUCGUGGGUAGCUCCUACAUGAGUGCCCUGGAGGUUGGGGGCCUUGUAGGCAGCAUCGCAGCUGGCUACUUGUCAGACCGGGCCAUGGCAAAGGUGAGUGAGCAAAAGGGACAGGAAGGAGGAGGAUUUCCCUUUUCACUUCUAUUUGUAUCUCAGUUCUCCUGCUCUGAUGCUGCUUUCUGGACUCCAGCUCUGCACCCUCUUGCUGAGCUCACAGGCUUUACGGAGCACGAGCUCUGGAUCCUGGUGUUGGGAGCUGUGUUUGGUUUCUCCUCUUAUGGUCCCAUUGCCUUGUUUGGAGUCAUAGCCAAUGAGAGUGCCCCUCCCAACCUGUGUGGCACCUCCCAUGCCAUUGUGGGACUCAUGGCCAAUGUGGGUGGCUUUCUGGCUGGGUUGCCCUUCAGCACCAUUGCCAAGCAUUACAGCUGGAGCACAGCCUUCUGGGUGGCUGAAGUGAUCUGUGCGGCCAGUACAGGUGCCUUCUUCCUCCUACGAAACAUCCGCACCAAGAUGGGCCGAGUGCCAAAGAAGGCUGAGUGAAGACCGUGCAAACUCUGGAGCGUCCUUUCUCACCUGUGUCAUGGGGGUUGGGAAAGGGAGGGAGGGGGCUGCUCUGGCAGCACCACCUUUGACUUUCUUUUUCUGCACCUUUUCCCUCACCCAGGUGGUGCUGGAAGUUAUCAGUGGCUAAUGAGGUCCCAGCUCCCCAUCCUAUCUCUAUUUAAAAAACAAGUUUUGGGAGUUCUCACUGUAGCACAGUGGGUUAGGAAUCCAAUUGCAGUGGCUUGGGUUGCUGCAGAGGUGUAGGUUCAACCCCUGGCCCAGCAUAGCAGGUUAAAGGACCCAGCAUUGCUACAGCUGCAGUUCGGAUUAGAUUCUUGACCCAGGAACUUCCAUAUGCCUCAGGUGCAGCCAUAAAAAUUAAAAAAAAAAAAAAGAGAGAGAGAGAGAGAGAGAGAAAACCUUUGUUUCUGGACUCCGUUAGUUCUUGCCUUCAAACUGGAAACCCCAGCACUCAGGGAGUCUCCUAUACCCUUCUCCCUCUCCUGGGCUCCGUCCUGUCCCCAUCACACACCAUCCCCACCUGAGGUGACGCUCCUGUAGCAGGACAGCAGUAGCCCGGGACUGCCCUGAGACCUCUCAGCAGGGGGCAGUUGCUAUUGCCAAUACCUUGGACUCCAGUGGAAGAGGGGAGGCCGUCACUCUUACCGAUACCUUGGGUACAGUAGGGGGUAAGGGUGGGAGGGUACAGAGACUUGUUAUAGAAAAUUAAAACUAGAUUUGAUAC
This 2761-nucleotide long non-coding RNA is filed under the name Sus scrofa (pig). RNAcentral describes it as "lncRNA (ENSSSCG00025014715.1)". Lineage: Eukaryota; Metazoa; Chordata; Mammalia; Artiodactyla; Suidae. The record is from RNAcentral.